UAUUGUUUGAAAUUCCUCAGUCAGGCUCAGUUGUUCUCAUGAAGUUAAUCCCAUAACUAAUGAAGAUCAGUGAGCAGGAGCCGUGCACAUUACUGUGUGUCUGUCUGUGUCAGGUUGUGACCUGUCCCUCAGGGCGGCUGCCCCAGCUCUCUCUACAUGGCUUGACUGGACACACUGAGCUGUGGACUGCACUGCCCCGUCCUGCUAAUUAGAGGAAACCAGCAGAAUGUCCUCACCUUCUACUGCCGGGUGGAGGCCAGGACUGGGCACCUCUGCACUAGUGUACCUCAGAGAUGUCCAGUUCAAGUUCCAGAGAUCUACCACCCUGCAGAGUUCAGCUCCAACCCUGAUCUGACACACCUGAUCCAGGUAAUCAAGGCCUCCAGGCACAUCUGAAUAUUAGAGCCAGGUGAGUUGGAUGUGAGCUUUUCAGAGUGAUGGAUCUCCAGGAGCAGGACUGAGCGCCUCGACUGUAACUCUUACCUCAGUUAAACAAAAUCGCAAAUAAAACAGUGACUUUUUAUUAUUAUGACUUCAUUUACGAGGCUGUAAAAAUCCAAGUUUUGCUGGCCAGAAACUUUGAUUUUACAAGACAUCGAUUUCUUGAGGAUCAGGGUUUGUAUAGCGAUGCAUGACUCUGUGUUUUCUGUUGUCGACUGCACUAAAUUUAAAGCCAAGGCUGCAUCCACAACCGCGUACUACUACUAUAUCAUACAUACUGUAGUGCACUUUGCUAUUAAAAGAUACACAGCUUUCGCACAAGUCAUGGUGCUUUAUUCUUCAGCUGUUUUUUGUCCACAGCUACAGCAUACAUAAGGUUUUCUCUUUACUAACACACUACAGUUUUGUUGCUUUUGGUUGAAGAUGAAAAAAACAACAUUAAAUCAAUGUUGAAUGUUGAUUGAUGUUGAUUGACUGAAUCAAUAAUGAAUUAUAGUUUGUGGAUCAACAUGGCCAUAGUAAAUAUGAGCUAAGACAGACUGAUAAUACACCUUCACACAUUUACAGACUUGUAGAAAAGGCAAACAUUUCAUUUCAGUUUUAGGGAUAAAAUAUUACUAACGUGGUUUUGAGGAUGGAGCUCAUGAGUCCCCCUAAAUUAACACAUGAUCCAUAUAUUAGGAUUUGUUUCACCAUGGCAGCAAAACCAAACACUGUAGGGUGACUGGAUAUGUGGAUAUAAGCUCAAAACAAUAGGUACAGAGUAGAGGUAACAAUUAGCCCUAGAAUAAAACAUACAUAUCUAUAGAGAGAAUUCUACAGAAAUCUUUAAGUGCUUUUGGUUUUAAUCAGGGUGUGGGUAUCCACUCUCCUGUCCUCCUAAAGAACCUGUAUAGAACCAUCUUUUUGAAGGGUAUAGAGAAGGAACGCCUAUUAAACUUAUCACUAUAAGUUAACUUAUCAAAUAGAUUUAUUUAUAUGUUCUGUAUUUUUAAACAUAUUCUGUUUCAUAUUCUGAAUGUUGUUUACAUAUUUUUCUACAUAUGAUAGUUUUACUGGUUGGAUAUUCUGAAAUAACCAUCACAUUAUAUUAUUUAGACUGUGAAAUCUGCCUAGCAACCAAAUGCAUUUUUAUUGGCUGUAUUUGGGCCAAUCAUUUUAAAGAAAAACGUCUUUUGUACCAUCAGUUGCCUCCGCCAUGCUGUCAUCAUUCUGUACACCUGCAUUUCAUUCGUCUUUAAUCGCAUAAUCGGUGGGUUGAACCACUGGGAAGAUUUGCCAUCCAAAAACAGCUGUUUAACGUUAACGUUAAAUUCCUUCUUUGCCUGUGAGAGCUGUGUUUUAAUGUAACGGUAGCCUUGUGCUAGUUCACAGUGUGGAGCUUUUUCUAGAGAGUAACAAAAGGUGUUUGGUGAUGAUUAUAGUAGCAAAUCCAUCAUGAUAGACAGUGAAAAUUAAAGUAAAUCAAAAAUGUGUGGUGCAAUAGAACUUAAUUUAAAACCUAGAUUAACAAAUCCUAGAAUCAGGUAUAAACUCUGAUUAAUUUAAGUUCUUCACACUUGGAACUGUUAACUGGGAAUUUUACCAAUUAUUCAACGUCAGAAUAAUUCAGUCACUGUUAUGUGAACAUUUCAUUAGAGGUGGGCAGUUUGACCACUGCUGUCAUGAUAAGUUACUGGAAUAAGCAGUGUCUUUUUCUGAGCAUGUGGUGGACAUUAAACAUUGACCAGUUGCGUGUUCCAUUUAAAAAGUGUGCAGCAAAUUUUGAAUGAAUUGUACUCAUUUAUGAACAUCUGGCACGGCUGGGAAAUUUUCUCUGUCACAAUAUCAUAAUAGGUAUUGUGUAAGGUGUAGUGGUGUAACGGAUCGUAGUUGAUCCAGGACCCCCAUGGAUGGUUGCGUAUCACAUGUACGGCUCAUGUUAAGCCCAUUUCACACCAGACACAGUAAACGUGCUACAAGCAAUAAUUAAGCAAUUAAAUUAGUGUUGUGCGAUAUGACCAACAUUUCAUAUAUCCUGAUAGCAUUAUCACAAUAUAGCACAUCUACUGUAAAUUAAAUCAAUACAUUUUAUUUUCAUAAAAUGAACAGAUUGAAAGUAGGGCUGUGUGAUAGGGACCAGAAAUCAUAUCUUAAUAUUGUUACGCUAAGUGGCCAUACAUGAUAUACAGUAUUUCUGUGUAUUUUCUACAAAGUGGGCUAAAUAUUCAUUUUAGAGGUAACAAGCACUUUUAUUAAAACAGAUUGUACUAUUGUACAGUGCUGUGAUACAAGUAUAUAUUUGGAUUAUGUAGAUUUGACUGAGACUAAUUGUAUUUACUUUUUUAUUUGUUUGAACCCCAGAUGGUGAAAAAGGAGAUGAACAACACAAUUUCACUGGUUUGUUGUCUUAACAGAGGUAAGUAGUAGUAGCAGUAGUAGAGGUAAGUAGUCUUGUUCUUGAAGUGCGGUGCAUUGAAUGAUGUUGCAAACAGCAUGACUUCUUACCGGUCAAUGAGACGGAGGAUAAUAAGGGAUGUAAGUAGGAUAGAAAAAGAAAGCUACACAGUUCAGCUCUGCAUGAACAGGAAUAGACCCUUUUCACAAAAUACUGGAAAUACAGAAGCGCUGGAUAAACAAAUUCCUGUUCUGCUUUACCUCAGACACUCACACAUUCUCAUCACUUCAGCUCAUCACCCAAUGUUUUACCUUUUUAAUCAUUGCUAAUCGUCUCUGGGUCUGUUAAACAAUUUACAGCUGGAGAGACUUAAAGAAAUCAGUGACAAAUUAACAAAUACACGCGCAGGAGACGUCUCUACUGAAUGAAUGGCUCAGUCUCCAACCGCUCCAUAUUCUCUAUCUAGUGAACUAAUAAAAACAGCCUGUAUGCCCAAAUAUUUCAUUAUAUUAAAGCAGAAGGAAGACGACUACUUCCAGCCACGGAUAACAAGGCUCUCUGCUUAACAGUUAAAGUUCGAUUAAGGUCUAGAGGACAUUUUUUCAUGUUUCUUAGUGUACUUAUAGGUUUAGAUAGUGAUUUGGGACUCGGUCCAGAAUAUCUUGUGCCCAAAAGCUCUUGGCUUCUUUAAAGCAACACAAUUUCAGCUUGAAUAACCUUAAGUGCAGUAGAAAACUGUGAAAUAGUGAUUGAUGCUUGUACAUGAAGGUGCGCUGUGAAAAGUGCUCUCCUCUAUUAACAGGAAUAGGUAAAUACAGGGUGAUUCAGAAAGAUUCAUCUGAUUUCAAAAUGAUUUAUUUCACUUGUAAAUCAUUACAGAAUAAUGCAGUAGAGUGUAAAUUGUUUAAGUGAGCAUAAAGUUUAUUAUGUAAUUGUAUAUGUGCUCAGUAUGAACCUCUUCCAGCUGUACGGACAACAUCAACGCCAUAUUCAGAUUCAUCCCAUACUCAAUUGAGCAUGUCGGGUGUCGCUGCACUCACGGCUCUUUCAGUGCGAUUUCAGAGAUCUUCCAGUGUUGUGGAACCAACGACAAGCACUCCGAGCUGUUGGAGCUUCACUGCCCACGAAAAUCACGCUGCACAGUUAUGACUGAUUUACUCUUAUUGAAGUGGAGAACGCAGAACGCUUUCUGCUCCGGGGUCGCAUCACCUCGCAGACUGAAGGGAGUCAGUCAGAAACUCUAUGACUACCUCUUUCAGUUGGAUUGUGAUUGGUUCCUAGGUGCCUCACAGUUGUAGAAAUACGGUGCUUUGAAAUGGGAUUAAUCUUUUUGAAUCGCCCUGUAUUAUGAAAUGUGAUGCAUAGUGUACUGUAGUGUCAGAGUCAGACAUGUUGCAGAUUUUGGCUGAGUUUGUUGUUUCACAUGCUUUUUAUCUGCAAAAACCUUGAAGAAGCCAAGAGCUCUGUGGUAGGACGAGAUAUUUUGGACCGAGUCCUGAAUCAAUUUCUACACCCUGCAUAAGUGCACUAAGAAUUAAAGUCAUUAAAAAACUACACGUUAAUCGAACUUUAAUUGUUAAGCAGAGAGCCUUGUUAUCCAUGGCUGGAUGUAGUCGUCUUCCUUCUGCUUUACUAUAAUGAAAUAUUUGGGCAUACAGGCUGUUUUUAUUAGUUCACUAGAUAGAGAAUAUGGAGUGGUUGGAGACUGAGCCAUUGAUUCAGUAGAUUUUAGGCACCCAAGCACAUUAUUUAAUUAAUUAGAACACAUACAGGUAAACAUAAAAACAGGAAAAAGAAAGCAGAACGUCUCUUGUCAAAGUUUGGGUCCAGAUUUCACCUCCCAGUGUGUGUUUGUUCAGUUCCAUCACCAGCUCAUCCCUUAGCCAAUCAGAGGUAUCGUAUAUAUCUGUAAUAUUACAUGCAAAUUUUUAUACCAAUUCUGAAAUCUCAUUGGCUGAGCAGUGUUUCGAGCUGUAUGUACAUGUUUAUUGCAAACAUUGUAGAAACCUUAUUUAAUCUAAUGUUUAUUUUUGCAUGUGUCCAGGUUUGCACCAGAGACCAUGAUACGAUGUAUUUUGCGGUCAGCCUUGACCAACUGUUAGUUAACCAAGACCUGUCAUUUCAGCUGGGCUGGGAAAUGAAAGGAGAGACCGUUCAAAGACAGGCUUUGAAAGACUGCAUAUUUGGUGUCAGCAACAUAAAUCACUGACGCUGAUGGUCUUUCCUGAUGUGGUCAAGAAGCGGCUGCGUUAUGCACCAGAAAGGGAGGGGUGCGUUCCCAGAAACACAAGCCGUAGUUGACUUUCUAAAUUGAACCUUUGCUUUAUUUUGUAACUGUAAAUGAAAAUGACUCAUUAAAAGGUCUCAUCAG
Colossoma macropomum (tambaqui) is the source of this 5189-nucleotide long non-coding RNA. RefSeq lists it as uncharacterized. The transcript has 4 exons. The record is from RefSeq and is a predicted model, not a curated record. Lineage: Eukaryota; Metazoa; Chordata; Actinopteri; Characiformes; Serrasalmidae.